GCAUGGAAACAGGGUUUUGGCCGGCCCGGCUCCGUGGGCCCCUCCCAGUGGACCCGUGCCAGAGUGACCGCAGCCUUGAACCGCUGCCCGAUGCCUCGCCUGCGGGCUGCGCGCACCUGACAGGCUUGGACAGCA
Molecule: small nucleolar RNA, 135 nt
Filed under: Pteropus vampyrus (large flying fox)
Lineage: Eukaryota; Metazoa; Chordata; Mammalia; Chiroptera; Pteropodidae
Description: Small nucleolar RNA SNORA42/SNORA80 family (ENSPVAG00000028609.1)
Source: RNAcentral